Long non-coding RNA from Manis pentadactyla (Chinese pangolin), 1056 nucleotides. RefSeq lists it as uncharacterized. NCBI's taxonomy places the organism in Eukaryota, Metazoa, Chordata, Mammalia, Pholidota, Manidae. The record is from RefSeq and is a predicted model, not a curated record. The transcript has 3 exons.
GGGAUCCCCAGACCUGUUUCUGGGGCCUCAGUCCGGCGGUACCUGUAACGGCCGGAGGGAGGCGGGGUGGUCUGCCCCUCGGGGCGCUUGCCCUCCUGAACUUGCAAGGAGACGACGCUGGCGAGAAUAUUAGCUAUCAGUCAGUUCCCUUAAAUAGCACCUUCGAACUUUUAGAAUUAAAAUUUAUUGACGGUCUAAAAGAAUGCCAUGUAAUUUUGGUGGCAUUGAAACUUUUUUUCCUCGGAUUAAUCUAACUUUGUCCUUUCUCCUUUAUUUCUCUGAGCUUGCAUCUUUUUUGCAGCUGACUGCAUUUAUCUUUUGAGCUUUGAACCCUGCCCCGGUGGAUAAGAGAUUUCAUGUAGGUAAACAGUCUCCGGAAAUAGAUGGGAGCUGCGAGCCAGCAGCUUGUCUGUUUGUGGUAACAGGCCCUGCCUGCGGGGCUGCAUCGGAGGCUGCAGGCGCCCCGUCUGCUGGAGCGGGGCGCUGACCUCCCCUCUGUGUCAGCCGCCCCGCAGGGGUGGUGCAUCCUCGCAACGUGCAAGGCAGGUCAUGUAAAGAAAUGAACUGGGUUCGGCCGGGCUUGACUGGGAACCCGGAGGAGGAGGAGUCUCAGCCCAGGGCGCUUGGUCCUCACCCGCGGCGCGCACUGCCUGGUGCCUCCUCGGGGCCGAACGACCACGUUAGCUCCGCCGUGCCUGCUGCCAUGGCUCUCAUUACAGUCAACGAGCUGUUAGCAUUUCCAUUGGGGGAUUUUUUUUUAAGGGUUAUAACCUAGUCAUGACAAUAAUUUGUUUUAGCUGAGACUCCGGUAACAGGAGGUCAAGCUAGAAGUGACAGGAGUGAAGACAAGUAGCUGCACACCCCGCAAGCGCUCCAAAGAAGCGGACGCGUGCACCAAGAGGAAUGGGUGAAUAACUAGAGCUGUCAAUCAAAUGACCUCACCCUGUCUGUCAAAGAGGCUCCUCCCAGCCAGGAGAUGAUAAAUGGACCCUCCCCUAAAAGUUCAGGGCCUUCAUCUACCUUGACUCUGGCCUGCUCCUCCCUUGGAGUGUCUGC